UGGUGGAGUGAUUUGUCUGGUUAAUUCCGUUAACGAACGAGACCUCGACCUGCUAAAUAGUUCGGCGAAUCCUCUGGAUUCGUGCGUGACUUCUUAGAGGGACUAUCGGUGUGUAGCCGAUGGAAGUUCGAGGCAAUAACA
RNAcentral lists this ribosomal RNA (141 nucleotides) under uncultured eukaryote. RNAcentral describes it as "partial 18S ribosomal RNA". It matches the Rfam family "Eukaryotic small subunit ribosomal RNA", at positions 1299 to 1458 of the family's 1831-position model. The record is from RNAcentral.